Molecule: long non-coding RNA, 215 nt
Filed under: Musa acuminata (dwarf banana)
Lineage: Eukaryota; Viridiplantae; Streptophyta; Magnoliopsida; Zingiberales; Musaceae
Description: long non-coding RNA (MACU_LNC004637)
Source: RNAcentral
GAUUGAAAUAUGUUUCCAAUAAUACUUUUUUAAAGUAAAUUGGAGCAAAAUUGAUAGUUUGAAUUAUUUGUUCAAUGUGUCUCUCAAAUUCUGCGAGAAUCUAACUUUGGCCAAUUUUGCCUUUUCUUGUUUCAUUCUCUUUGAAAAUUGAUUUCAUCUAGUAUUCUUGCAAAAAUUAUACCACAUGUGUUAGCUUGGAAUACUUAUAUACUCUU